This is a long non-coding RNA of Panthera uncia (snow leopard), 289 nucleotides long. RefSeq lists it as uncharacterized. The record is from RefSeq and is a predicted model, not a curated record. Lineage: Eukaryota; Metazoa; Chordata; Mammalia; Carnivora; Felidae. The transcript is spliced from 2 exons.
CCGAUUCCGCCCUAACAGUUCAUUUCUCAUUUUCUUUCCUCUGUUGAUGCUUCUCCUGUGUGUUCGUUUAUACAAGUUGAUGUUCCUGCUACUGAGUCUUUCUGAGUCUACUGCCCUUUCAUCAUCGACAGCCUUACUCACUUGCUCUCCAACCUGUCCUGCGUUACGUGUCUCUGCAGUUGAGUGGGAAGAACAUGGACUCGUGAAUCUUGUAAUAAGGGCCUGAGCCCAUUGUUUAUAGCUAAGAAAUGCUUGAUGAGUAAAUGAUAGACUUGAAUUAAUAUCUUAA